AUUGAACGCUGGCGGCAUGCCUAACACAUGCAAGUCGAACGGUAAGAGGAAGAGGCUGGCUUCUUUGCGGUAGAGUGGGGGGCGGGUGAGAAAUGUCUGUGAAACAGCUUGAUGGAGGGGGAUAACUAGGGGAAACGGUAGCUAAAACCGCAUAACUUUUGAAGACCAAGGAGGGGGACCGUCGGGCGGCUUGGCUGUGGAUGAGAGCAGAAGCCGGGUGGGAUUAGCUAGUGGGUGAGGUAACGGCUGACCUAGGCCACGAUCCGUAGCUGGUCUGAGAGGAUGACCAGCCACACUGGAACUGAGACACGGUCCAGACUCCUACGGGAGGCAGCAGUGGGGAAUAUUGCACAAUGGGCGCAAGCCUGAUGCAGCCAUGCCGCGUGUAUGAAGAAGGCCUUCGGGUUGUAAAGUUCUUUCAGCGGGGAGGAAGGGAGUAAAGUUAAUCCCUUUGCUCAUUGACGUUACCCGCAGAAGAAGCACCGGCUAACUCCGUG
RNAcentral lists this ribosomal RNA (497 nucleotides) under uncultured bacterium. RNAcentral's name for it is "partial 16S ribosomal RNA". It matches the Rfam family "Bacterial small subunit ribosomal RNA", at positions 29 to 507 of the family's 1533-position model. The record is from RNAcentral.